GGCGGGGUAGUGUAAUGGUAACAUGUCUGACUUUGCAUCAGAAGCUAAAGGUUCGAUUCCUUUCCCCGCAACCA
Molecule: transfer RNA, 74 nt
Filed under: Inoviridae sp.
Lineage: Floreoviria; Loebvirae; Hofneiviricota; Faserviricetes; Tubulavirales; Inoviridae
Description: tRNA-Gln
Rfam family: tRNA
About the family: Transfer RNA (tRNA) molecules are approximately 80 nucleotides in length.
Source: RNAcentral